CCUGCAAGUUUGAGAAGUCGCCGUGCCAUUAAGCGGAACCACACUCCGUUCCCUGCGUAACCAUUUUUUUUUGCUUCAUUCGUCUUACUUGUUGCGUGCAGAAUCGAAUGGACCCAUUUUCAGAAGGUCGUGACAGCACUCACUCUGGUUAUCGAACACGCACGCCAUUCUCUUCCACCUCCACCUCUUCCAUAGCGGAAGAGGAGAUCGCGGUUCGCCCUCGCAGACUGUCAGGAAGACGCGUGCGGAGCAGGUAUCGCGGCGGCGACUACGAUAACUCCUCCUCUAUUACAGCGCCUCGCGCCUCUGGCCGUCGCCGUCACUCGCGCGAGAACUUGGCCCUGGAUGAGCGUCACAGCGUCCUCCUGCCAGAUGAUAAAAAUGCAGGGCCCUACCUCGCAAGAGCAGAGAGCCCCACCCGUGAGUGUGCAAUGGAUAUGAUGUCGGGACUUGGCACCGACACGGUAGAGGCAGGGGGCGUGGUGGAGGAACUUCUGGUGUCGACCUGGCCCCAGAGUCGCCGCUUCCUCGAAAGCCGCAUUUUGCAGACUGCUGAUAUGCAGGCAGAGGACAUGAUAAGUGGCGACGGCGGCUCGCAGCACAUCGAAGACGACAGCGUUAGCGUGACUCCGUCCACGUCGGCCCCUUCCCCAGCGCCGCGCUCUGCGGCUGCGACUGGUGCGCCGCCUCUGGCGCCACGGCCUCUGACAGACACCUCCCCACUUCUGUUGCGGCCGCGCAUGCAGGAGACGGAGAUGCCUGCUGACCCGCGCACGAGGUUGCUUGACCUGGUCAUUACGAACACCACCGCUAGCAUAACACUCGCAGAGAUGGAACAGGAGAUGAACUGGAACGCACAGUACGCCGCCACGUACGGGCCGCUGAAAGAAUACCUGCAGUCGUAUCAGUCCAUCUUCGUCGUGUCCCCCGUGGACGACCGCGUGCGCCUACGGCGACUCUUUUCCAUCCGCACAAACGCCCUCGCGCGGGAGGUCCGCCGGUCGACGCCGCACUCGUCAUCGCUGUCCUCACGCCAGCGACACGGGCGCCGCACCGGCCGAGAUGCCGCGCACCGAUCGCAGUCGGCAGCGGAUCGGCGAACCGGCAAGCCGUCCCUCCCCUCUGCAGAAGCUCUUGCGGCACACAUCGGCAGCGUCAGCUACAGCUGCAUCGCAGAGCGUCUAGACCUGGAUGCGCUGGAAACCGUCUAUCACCGCCGCGGUUACAAGACGGAGAUUGCGCACGCUGUGCUGCAUGUGUCCAGUGAGAACUGCUUCGACCUGUUCCUCUUUUCGAACGGCGCCGUUGUGUGGUGGGGCAUGGACCGUAAAAACCACUGGAUGGUGGACGACGACUUCUUAUCCGCCUCAAAUCAUCUGCUCGAGGGAGUCGUACACCGCUACCCGCAAGCUGAAAUCGAUGCCCUCUUCCCUAUCUGGUGCUCGUAUGAGUUGGAUGAGCAGUGCGAGGUCGUUCAGACGCCCUCAACACUGGGGUUUCAGCCGUUGGCGGUCGAACCAGCCCUUGAUCGACUUGCCAAGGUACUUUGCUUUGACCACUAUCUUGUGCCGGCCAGCGAGCCGGCGCGCAGUCUGGUUAUGCUUACCUUUUCCCACUCACUGGGCCGCUCGGCUGGGGUGGACUACUUCGAAUACGUAACGAAGUGGUCACACCGCCAUAUCCUGUCCACCCCAGCCGAGUUUACCGGCCUGCUCGACUACUACUCCACGAAGCGGCGCAUUGCCAGACUCGAGGGCGAGAUUGCCGUGGCCCAACUCGCGAUCCAGUCGGCUCAUGACAUCCCGGAUGUGCUGUGGGAGGCGCCGUGGCUGCAGGGGUACUAUGACCUGGCCGAGCAGCAGAACACGACGGAGUCGCGGCUGUCGUGGUUUAACUCGCGCAGUGACACGCUCCUUGAGCAGCUCAGCCAUAUCAAAGGCCGGCGGUAUCGCCUCUUCAUGCUGGGAUCCGACGUCUUUCUCAUCGUUCUUCUUAUUCUGGAUGUGAUCUUUAUGACGUCCCGAUUGGUCGCCAAGAUGUACUUUUAGGCGGUAAAAGGAGUCCGGAAGGACGGCAAACGGGGUGAUCCGCUUGGUGGUAUUCACACACACGCGCGCGCGCACACACACACGAACAAAAAAAAAAGCAAAGGCCGUGUUCCUCUUAUCGUUGCCUUGUACUCGUUUGCAAGCGCAUGUGCGUCUAUCCGUGCAUAUGGUCUGGCUUCAAGCAGAAAGCACGCCUACAUGCUCAUUCUUGCCAAUGCUCAUGCACUGCUCUGCGCAUGCUCUCGUGACUGGACGUCCCAAGACAUGUAGCGAGUUGUCCGUGUCGGUGCUUUCUUUUUUUUUUUGCUUCGUGCUUCCUCUUCCCACUGACCUCGUGCGUCAGGGCGAGGCAUGGCAUACAGGCCGGGUGUGCAGAGGGUCAUGACCUGAGGCUGAUCAACUUCCUCUUUGAUCUCGCCCUGCAUGCGCCUAGGCCACCUCCUGCUAGCUGCACGACAGACGCCAUCGCCUCCGCGCUGGAGCACGUUCCUGGACGCGGCCCGCCUGGGGAUCCAAGGUGUGCAGCCCACCCAUGUCUCCGUGUGGCGCCGAUCGGGCAGCACGUAUGGUGCAGAAGUGAUGCGGAUGGUCAAGCAGAUCCCGCCACACGCUUGACCGGACGCAACGGCAGGACAGAUCGUCCUAGACGACCAGGAUUCAGCUGCAUUCCUACAAGGGUAGGUGGACAGCUGUGGCCGUGGUAUGCGUGUGCUUGCUGAUUUACUUGUGAUGGUAUUGGACACGUUGACAGAAGAAUCACUCCGCCUGCUGUUCGCCACAUUCUCGUGUGUCUUUGCCACAGCGAAUUUCUUCGCCACGUCCAGCUGACACUCCCUUGCACUGCGCCUGCGUGCUUCCUGUGAGAUGACGGGAGUGCGCGUUUUAGGCGUAACCAUCACCCACCCAUCACAAACCACCACCCUCACAGGAGGAAAACCUAUCACUGUCAUGCCUGUCGGAGACCACAGUCGGCGCUGAGAUGUGC
This 3033-nucleotide unclassified non-coding RNA is filed under the name Leishmania donovani. Its description in RNAcentral is "gene:LdHU3.30.3030(CDS-product:Uncharacterised_AC R_YagE_family_COG1723_putative)". Lineage: Eukaryota; Euglenozoa; Kinetoplastea; Trypanosomatida; Trypanosomatidae. The record is from RNAcentral.